GGACUACCGGGGUAUCUAAUCCUGUUCGCUCCCCACGCUUUCGCGCCUCAGUGUCAGUAUCGGGCCAGGAAGUCGCCUUCGCCACUGGUGUUCCUUCCGAUAUCUACGCAUUUCACCGCUACACCGGAAAUUCCACUUCCCUCUCCCAAACUCUAGCUAAUCAGUUUCAUAUGCCAUUCCUAGGUUAAGCCCAGGGAUUUCACAUCUGACUUAAUUAACCACCUACGCGCCCUUUACGCCCAGUAAUUCCGAUUAACGCUCGCACCCUCUGUAUUACCGCGGCUGCUGGCAC
RNAcentral lists this ribosomal RNA (292 nucleotides) under uncultured bacterium. RNAcentral's name for it is "partial 16S ribosomal RNA". The record is from RNAcentral.